GAUGAAGAACGUAGCGAAAUGCGAUAAGUAAUGUGAAUUGCAGAAUUCAGUGAAUCAUCGAAUCUUUGAACGCACAUUGCGCCCUCUGGUAUUCCGGGGGGCAUGCCUGUUCGAGCGUCAUUAUAACCACUCAAGCUCUCGCUUGGUAUUGGGGCUCGCGGUUCCGCGGCCCCUAAAAUCAGUGGCGGUGCCUGUCGGCUCUACGCGUAGUAAUACUCCUCGCGAUUGAGUCCGGUAGGUCUACUUGCCAGCAACCCCCAAUUUUUACAGGUUGACCUCGGAUCAGGUAGGGAUACCCGCUGAACUUAAGCAUAUAAUAAGCGGAGGA
RNAcentral lists this unclassified non-coding RNA (328 nucleotides) under soil metagenome. Its description in RNAcentral is "partial contains 5.8S ribosomal RNA, internal transcribed spacer 2, and large subunit ribosomal RNA". The stretch from base 1 to 120 matches the Rfam family "5.8S ribosomal RNA", at positions 35 to 154 of the family's 154-position model. The record is from RNAcentral.